Molecule: ribosomal RNA, 468 nt
Filed under: uncultured bacterium
Lineage: Bacteria
Description: partial 16S ribosomal RNA
Rfam family: Bacterial small subunit ribosomal RNA
Source: RNAcentral
GACGAACGCUGGCGGCGUGCUUAACACAUGCAAGUCGAACGGAAAGGCCCUGCUUUUGUGGGGUGCUCGAGUGGCGAACGGGUGAGUAACACGUGAGUAACCUGCCCUUGACUUUGGGAUAACUUCAGGAAACUGGGGCUAAUACCGGAUAGGAGCUCCUGCUGCAUGGUGGGGGUUGGAAAGAUUCGGCGUUGGGGGAUGGACUCGCGGCUUAUCAGCUUGUUGGGGUGGUAGUGGCUUACCAAGGCUUUGACGGGUAGCCGGCCUGAGAGGGUGACCGGCCACAUUGGGACUGAGAUACGGACCAGACUCCUACGGGAGGCAGCAGUGGGGAAUAUUGCACAAUGGGCGGAAGCCUGAUGCAGCAACGCCGCGUGCGGGAUGACGGCCUUCGGGUUGUGAACCGCUUUCGCAUGUGACGAAGAGUGAGUGACGGUAAUGGGUAAAGAAGCCCCGGCUAACUACGUG